RNAcentral lists this long non-coding RNA (898 nucleotides) under Cottoperca gobio. RNAcentral's name for it is "lncRNA (ENSCGOG00000017160.1)". Lineage: Eukaryota; Metazoa; Chordata; Actinopteri; Perciformes; Bovichtidae. The record is from RNAcentral.
UGCCUUCAGACCGGUGGAGCACAGACUCUGAAGCUGACUGGACUCAUUUUGGAGCUUUCAAAUAAUCUGGAGAGGACCUUCAAUUUCAGGAAAGGACUUCCUUCCUGUUGGAUUAGUUUGGCUUUAGUUUGUUUAGAUUUUGAGUGGCAGCAUCUUGGACUAUAAGGUUCUAAAACUUGGACAUUCUCUGUCCUGUUGGACUUUUGCCCUUUUAUAUUCACUGCUAUACUGGCAUUGUAUCCCCUUGUUAAUGCUGACGUUGAUGGGCGAUCCUCAGAAAAGUGGAGGUGAAGUGGUAACCAUGUGGAUCCCGACCCCCAGCAUGACUCUCCCUCAGCGGGUGGUGCUGUAUGGGACGUGUGUGGUGGCGUUGAUGAACUCUGUGGGCUUCCUGGUGCUCUUGGUCCAGCAGAAUCAGCAACGCGUCUUGCUAGAGCAGACAGGCUUAAAGCUGACAGGAGGUGGAGCAGAGCUCGCUGGUGGAGUUCCUCCAGGAGGUGCCGAGAGGAGCGGCGGGGAUGCGGGCGAGCGCGGGGGAACAUCCGCAAUACCAGUACUCCAGGAAUAAGAGAAGCGAAGAGCUGGAGAAGAAUCUAAAGCAGGAGAUGCAGGAGCUUCACCAGGAGGAGGGACAGGAGGUCAGCCAGGAGGUCAGCCAGGAGGUGGGAGAGGAAGCAGAGAAGAAGAUGAAGAAUGAGAUGAAGCACAAGCACCGACACGGCCAGAGUUACCACAAGGCACACUUUCAGGAUGACAUGAUGAUGAUGAUGACGUACUCCAUGGUCCCGAUCAAAUUGUUGAUCGACAUUUGCAACAGCACCAAGGGAGUCUGCAUCGCCGGACCACCAGGACCGCCUGGUUUGCCCGGUGUGGAUGGUAUGCCCGGCCACAAUGGGAC